ACUCAGAGCACCAAGGGAAACUCUAGAGAAUAACUUUAUUUUGUUGAUUUGAGAUCCUGUAAUAUAGGAUGGACUUAUUUUUCCUUCUGGGAAAUUUUUCUUUUUUUUACCUGGCCUUGCUCAAUCAGAUGUUUCCCCAUGAACAUAACAGUUCUGAACAACACCUUUGUUUAACAUUGUAUUUGGUAUCAAAAUGUAUUAGUGGAUCAGGACUGAAUAAUUAUUAAACCAUUGGCUACUUUAUACAUUUCCAUUGUAGUCAUUUUAUAAUGAAGUUCCUGAUAGUAUAUACAAGUUG
This 298-nucleotide long non-coding RNA is filed under the name Bos taurus (domestic cattle). Its description in RNAcentral is "long non-coding RNA NONBTAT026922". The record is from RNAcentral. Lineage: Eukaryota; Metazoa; Chordata; Mammalia; Artiodactyla; Bovidae.